AUGGGUGAGCCGCCGAGCCGAGAGGGAUCCUAUUCCUCCUUCCCCAACUCCGACGACGACGAGCCGGAGACCUCUGGAUCGGAACGAGGAGCGGGAGGAGGAGGAGAGGAUGCUCAUCGCCCGCUGCCUCUGCGCCAGCAGCUCGUGGGGGCCUGCCGCGCCGACGACCGUCUCAGGCCUCUCCUCACCCUCAACGUCUCAUGCUCCGCCGCCGAGAACCGCUUCAUUUCUCACCUCUCUCAGCACUUUGAGGUCUCGGAGGUGGGCAUGCUGGCAAGGUGUCUCUGCGUUCCCCUCGUCUCGCUGCGCGUCGGCAAGGUCGACCGCCACGGUCCCCUCCUCUGCCCAACAACCAUCAGAGGGAAGCUUAGCCUUGGCCUUCUGCCUUCAUCGAGCAUGCGCCUUACCUUCUCCGGUGACGAUGGUUGUUCAGAGGAAUUGGCUCUGUUGAACGAUGGCCUAGAAGUUUCAGAAGUUGCGAUUGAAGAAAUAUCAGCUGAUAAUUCUGGACGUUCUUUCCUUAUCAGGAUUUCAGAAUCUAAAAGAUUGUACUACUGGUGCGCUGAAAAGUCGAAGGAAUGUGGAAUGGAGCUUCUUGCAAAGAUGAAAAAUCUACUUCAGGGCAGGCCAACCCUCUCUGAUCUCACAGGCAUCUCCAAUUCCCGACUUGAUGCUUUUGUUACUAAUUUACAUGCUUAUCUUCUUGCACCAAGUAUUGGAGAUGCUAAAUUGUUGGGAUCAUCUACUGACUUCCUCAGUAAUUCAAGCUCACAAGGGCAACAUUUACAGCCCCCAUCAGUCGUUUCCAGGUCUUCAAGGUCUCGCACCUCUGCCGCUAAUGCAACAAAAGCAAGCUUGAUCUAUCAAGCCAGUCUGAGUCCCAGAUCCAGCACUUUUAAAGAUGGGGUUCCAAGGACCUCUUGUGCAAAGGUUGUUGGGAGAGAGAAGCUGAAGCGGCGUGGGGACUGGUUGGGCCCAUCAACUGCUCUGAUCGAUGCAAAUCCUUUGAUAGCAAAGAGUGUUAACCCUGAUUCAACCAGUGAGGUGUGUGAUAGGGAGUGUUCAAAAAACAGUGUCACUCCCGCUUCUUCAUUAGACUUGCCUCUUUCAUUUCCCUUGCUGCCACCUCUUUAUCCACUCCCAGAGGGUUCUUCAGAGAAUCCAUUUAAGCCUUACUAUUGCUGGUGUCCGCCAUGCCCAUCGUCACUGCAGUACAGUGUAACCCCUCUGCAUAUGCCAGUUACAUCUGUAGAACCAUUUCCCCAGUCACCUUUGGGCCCGCUGGUAUCAAAUGAAGUAUCAUCUGUCUCGUCAUUUUCUGCAAAGUUGGAUACAACUAAUUCACCUUCACUUAAUCUUCCAUCGAUACUGCACGAUCCUUCACUUCACCUCCAGCUUCCUACUUCAAUUGUUCCCCUGCAUGGUUCUAUGGUUUCAACAUAUCCGUUACUUCAUCUGCCGUUUCCCACUUCACCUCUUGUUCCUGUACAUGGUUCGCAGGUUCCAACAUUUCCGUUGCUUCACCUGCCACUUCCUACUUCACCAUUUGUUUCAUUGCAUAGCUCACAGGUUCCAACAUUUACACCAUUGAUGUCUGAUCCUAUUGUGCAUGUCCCAGUCAUUGAUAUGUGUUCCUCCGGUCAGGCUUAUUUGGUGAGUUGUGGUCCUUCUAUAACUUCACCUGUUCCCCUGCUCCCUAGCUUGAAGCCUCUGAUUCCAGAAACCGAAUCGUUGGUUGAGAGGAGUGCUAGGGAAACACUAAUGAGGCUUUUAGCUUCGACACCACCAUCAAGCAACCCCCAGCUAGUCAACAUUCUCCCUGCAGUCCUUACUGAUGUGCCUGAAAAUAUUUCUCGAUCUCCUAAUGUGAACAUGCAUGUUGGUGUCCAUCGCAACGACCUACUUCUUAGCUCAUCUUGGGGUGCUAAUGUGAUUGGAAGUGGGAUGGCAGCCAUGGAGCUGCACUCGGAGGAUGAGGUUUCCAGUGGGCAUGAUGCUCAUGCUAUGGUUGCGUUUACGGAAUUUGAUGAUAUCAAUGGAGACCGUGAUCAGCCCCAUUUCCGGAGGAUGUAG
This 2073-nucleotide ribosomal RNA is filed under the name Triticum aestivum (bread wheat). Its description in RNAcentral is "partial small subunit ribosomal RNA". The record is from RNAcentral. Lineage: Eukaryota; Viridiplantae; Streptophyta; Magnoliopsida; Poales; Poaceae.